UACAGAGGGUGCAAGCGUUAAUCGGAAUUACUGGGCGUAAAGCGCACGUAGGCGGUUUUUUAAGUCAGAUGUGAAAGCCCCGGGCUCAACCUGGGAAUUGCAUUUGAAACUGGGAAACUAGAGUGUGAGAGAGGGGGGUAGAAUUCCAAGUGUAGCGGUGAAAUGCGUAGAGAUUUGGAGGAAUACCAGUGGCGAAGGCGGCCCCCUGGCACAACACUGACGCUCAGGUGCGAAAGCGUGGGGAGCAAACAGG
This 253-nucleotide ribosomal RNA is filed under the name uncultured bacterium. RNAcentral describes it as "partial 16S ribosomal RNA". It matches the Rfam family "Bacterial small subunit ribosomal RNA", at positions 524 to 776 of the family's 1533-position model. The record is from RNAcentral.